This 583-nucleotide ribosomal RNA is filed under the name uncultured bacterium. RNAcentral's name for it is "partial 16S ribosomal RNA". It matches the Rfam family "Bacterial small subunit ribosomal RNA", at positions 355 to 932 of the family's 1533-position model. The record is from RNAcentral.
UGGGGAAUUUUGGACAAUGGGCGAAAGCCUGAUCCAGCAAUGCCGCGUGUGUGAAGAAGGCCUUCGGGUUGUAAAGCACUUUUGUCCGGAAAGAAAUCCUUGGCUCUAAUACAGUCGGGGGAUGACGGUACCGGAAGAAUAAGCACCGGCUAACUACGUGCCAGCAGCCGCGGUAAUACGUAGGGUGCAAGCGUUAAUCGGAAUUACUGGGCGUAAAGCGUGCGCAGGCGGUUUGCUAAGACCGAUGUGAAAUCCCCGGGCUCAACCUGGGAACUGCAUUGGUGACUGGCAGGCUAGAGUAUGGCAGAGGGGGGUAGAAUUCCACGUGUAGCAGUGAAAUGCGUAGAGAUGUGGAGGAAUACCGAUGGCGAAGGCAGCCCCUGGGCCAAUACUGACGCUCAUGCACGAAAGCGUGGGGAGCAAACAGGAUUAGAUACCCUGGUAGUCCACGCCCUAAACGAUGUCAACUAGUUGUUGGGGAUUCAUUUCCUUAGUAACGUAGCUAACGCGUGAAGUUGACCGCCUGGGGAGUACGGUCGCAAGAUUAAAACUCAAAGGAAUUGACGGGGUCAUACUGUUUCCU